CACCUCCUAAGCAAACACCCAGUGCUAUGUAGGAUCAAAAAUUCAUAAUCUUUAACAGGUUGAAACUAUUUAUUAUAUUUUACUUGACUCAUGUUAUUUUCAUGCAAAAUUUAUCGUUAUAUUCCAACGUGAAUCCUUCGGAGCCCCCAGAUGGAGUUUUAUGUGACUAGUGAUGUGACUAUCGAUCCUUAGAGGGUAGAUCCUUAUGGGAAGUCGGCUCGUCCCCCGGUUGAUGAAUUAAAUAGAGAUUAACCACUCAACUUGCCACCGAGGCUUGAUUUUACUUGAAGUAGAUCAGGCUCGAUGCAAAGCUCCUCAGGCC
This 322-nucleotide long non-coding RNA is filed under the name Elaeis guineensis (African oil palm). Its description in RNAcentral is "long non-coding RNA (EGUI_LNC074228)". Lineage: Eukaryota; Viridiplantae; Streptophyta; Magnoliopsida; Arecales; Arecaceae. The record is from RNAcentral.